Long non-coding RNA from Astatotilapia calliptera (eastern happy), 397 nucleotides. NCBI's taxonomy places the organism in Eukaryota, Metazoa, Chordata, Actinopteri, Cichliformes, Cichlidae. The record is from Ensembl.
CACUCACAUUCCAAUCAUUGCUCCUUCAGUAAAUGAAGGAGACUAUGUGAACAGGAAGUCUUUCCACAGCAUUAAUGUACAGGUACAUAGUUCCCUGUAGCAUUUCAAACUAACAAAUUAUUUCAUUAUAGUAAUGGAUGCUAAUUUGUGUUCUCUGCACUGUGAAGAUCAUAUGUGAUGCUGCCAACAUUAUCACAAAUGUGGAAGCCAAGCGGCCAGGCUCUGUCCAUGACUCACAAAUAUUCCGUGAAUGUACACUGAGCACAAAAUUUGGACAUGGAGAGUUCACUGGCUACUUGCUUGGUGAUAGGGGGUAUCCAUGUUUACCCUAUUUGCUUACCCCUUACCCUGACCCUGAACCGGGCCCACAGCAGCGAUAUAAUCUGGCUAAUUGCAG